Molecule: long non-coding RNA, 1594 nt
Organism: Passer domesticus (house sparrow)
Lineage: Eukaryota; Metazoa; Chordata; Aves; Passeriformes; Passeridae
Exons: 3
Source: RefSeq, a predicted model, not a curated record
UUGCAUUAGCUGGGUUUUAAUUUGGAGCUGUGCUGUUCAUUACUUCUAUCACAUCCAGGCUCCUCUGGCUGGCUCGGAGCUCUGGAGUGCUGCUGACCCUGGUGCUCCAUCCCUGGGCUCCCAGCUCCGGGAGUGUCACAGCACUGACACCCAGGCACUGCCUUUGGCCUGUGCAGAUCCCAGGGAUGAGCUGGGACACGGAUCCUCCACCAAAGCUGACCACACUUGUGCUGCUGGGGCUGGGCACACUUGGGGAUGUUCCACCCAUUCCCAUUCCCUGGCAUGGAACUGGUUAAAUUCACUGAGAUACAGAGCCAGUGGGAUGUGCACAGUGAGUUUGGCACCAGACAAGUUUCCAUGACUCAGUUCAGCUUCAGGAAGUUUACAGAAACAUGACAGCAGAACCUUAUAGAACCUAUAAUAGUGCAACGGCAGAGGUUUCAUAUUCUGGAAAGCAGCUUCUGGCUACAGGAAUGAGCUGGAGAAGCUGGAGUAUCCCUGGUUGGCCUGGAGUCCCUGGCUCAGAGCUAUUCCAGUGGCUUGUCUGCCCAGCUUGCCAAAGUGACUGGGAAACUUCAGAGGAGCUACUUGGAUUGGGAGCAAUGUCUUCUGUUCCACCCACAGAAGCUGUGGCUGCUGCCUCCCUGGAAGUGGCCAAGGCCAGGGUGGACAAGGCUUGGAACAAGCUGGAAGGUGUCACUGCCUGGGGCAGAUCUCAGGGGACGGUGUUGACUUACAUGUUGGAAAAGCAAUCCCUGCAAACAGCAGCUCGGAAUUGUUGUAUUAAACCUGCCACCUCCCGCCAAAACCCUCGAGCAAACAAAAACCUGGUGGAAGCUGCUGAUUUCUUCUUGACUCAACCCCCAGCCUGUUUGUCAGAUUCCAGAUGCAUUUUACAGCGGUUGAGAGACCCUGAAAUCAGCAUUCAGCUCGGCUCCUGAAUGACCCUGAUCGGCAACAACUCCGCAUAUUCCCACAAUUAAACAACGUUUGAACUUGUGUUAAUGGCAACAGAACAAUUAUCUGAACAGCCAUCCACGGGCUAAGCAGGCUGCAUCAGCAAGAGUCAAGCCUGGUGCAAAUAAAGGCUCAGCCUUGCAGAGGAAACCCAGGAAAACCUUCAACGAGAGGAAUAAAGAGUCUUUAUUUUACUCCAUAAAAUCGGCUUGUGAACAAUAUAUUGAAUGUCAGAGCAAAUGUCUGCUACAAUUUGGUUGCUUAAUUGUAAACCUUGCUAACUAUUUCCAUUUAAAAAUCAAAUCUUUAGUGUUCUGAAACUGCAGAGAGGCAUUUGCCUGGUCCUGGUGUCAGAAAUAUUCUUAUAAUGCUGGAGCUUUGUGUGGGAAAUGCAGAAGCAGCACAACAGAGUUUAACAAUUGGUGGGGGGAGUAAGAGGAGGCUUUAAGAGCUUGAGUUUAUUCUUAGUGAAAGAGAUUUCAUUAUAUUUCUGGAAAAUUUAGGAAUAAAGGAGAAGGGGGCUCAUUUAACAGAAAAUUCCAUAGAAUCAUAACAUUAUGGAAUGAUCUAGGUUGAAAUGGAACUUAAAGCUCAUCUCAUUCCACUCCCUCCCCUGCCAUGGGCAGGAACACCUUCC